GAUGAACGCUGGCGGCGUGCCUAACACAUGCAAGUCGAGCGAACGGACGAGAAGCUUGUUCCUCUGAUGUUAGCGGCGGACGGGCGAGUAACACGCGGAUAACCUACCUAUAAUACUGGGAUAACUUCGGGAACCCGUAGCUAACACCGGAUAAUAUUUUGAACCGCAUGGUUCAAAAGUGAAAGACGGUCUUGCUGUCUCUUAUAGAUGGUUCCGCGCUGCUUUAGUUAGUUGGUAAGGUAACGGCUUACCAAGGCAACGAUGCGUAGCCGACGUGAGAGGGGGGUAGGCCACACUAGAACGGAGACGCGGUCCAGACUCCUACGGGAGGCAGCAGUGGGGAAUGUUCCGCAGUGGGCGGAAGCCUGGCGGAACAACGCCGCGUGGGGGAUGGAGGGCUUCGGAUCGUAAAACUCUGUUAUUAGGGAGGAACAUAUGUGUAAGUAACUGUGCACAUCUUGACGGUACCGAAUCAAAAAGCCACGGCUAACUACGUG
This 497-nucleotide ribosomal RNA is filed under the name uncultured bacterium. RNAcentral's name for it is "partial 16S ribosomal RNA". It matches the Rfam family "Bacterial small subunit ribosomal RNA", at positions 28 to 507 of the family's 1533-position model. The record is from RNAcentral.